CCUACCGGGGGCAGCAGUGGGGGAUAUUGCACAAUGGGGGGAACCCUGAUGCAGCGACGCCGCGUGGGUGAAGGAGCGUUUCGGCGCGUAAAGCCCUAUCGGCAGGGAAGAAGGAGGACGGUACCUGACUAAGAAGCCCCGGCUAACUACGGGCCAGCAGCCGCGGUAAUCCGUGGGGGGUCAGCGUUAUUCGGAUGUACUGGGGGGAAAGGGGGCGAAGGCGGUAGCGAAAGCCAGGGGUGAAAGCCCGGGGCCCAACCCCGGGACUGCUGUUGGAACUGGGAGGCUGGAGUGCAGGAGGGGCAGGCGGAAUUCCAGGUGUAGCGGUGAAAUGCGUAGAUAUCAGGAGGAACACCGGUGGCGAAGGCGGCCUGCUGGACUGCGACUGACGUUGAGGCCCGAAAGCGUGGGGAGCAAACAGGAUUAGAUACCCCUGUAGUC
This 441-nucleotide ribosomal RNA is filed under the name uncultured bacterium. RNAcentral describes it as "partial 16S ribosomal RNA". It matches the Rfam family "Bacterial small subunit ribosomal RNA", at positions 338 to 795 of the family's 1533-position model. The record is from RNAcentral.